Molecule: microRNA precursor, 63 nt
Organism: Bison bison bison
Lineage: Eukaryota; Metazoa; Chordata; Mammalia; Artiodactyla; Bovidae
Source: Ensembl
UCUAGAGGCUGUAGAGGGCAUCUGCUGCUUCCUGGCACUCGGAUGCCCUCUGCUGCUUAGAGA